GAUGAACGCUGGCGGCGUGCCUAAUACAUGCAAGUCGAGCGAACAGACGAGGAGCUUGCUCCUCUGACGUUAGCGGCGGACGGGUGAGUAACACGUGGAUAACCUACCUAUAAGACUGGGAUAACUUCGGGAAACCGGAGCUAAUACCGGAUAAUAUAUUGAACCGCAUGGUUCAAUAGUGAAAGACGGUUUUGCUGUCACUUAUAGAUGGAUCCGCGCCGCAUUAGCUAGUUGGUAAGGUAACGGCUUACCAAGGCAACGAUGCGUAGCCGACCUGAGAGGGUGAUCGGCCACACUGGAACUGAGACACGGUCCAGACUCCUACGGGAGGCAGCAGUAGGGAAUCUUCCGCAAUGGGCGAAAGCCUGACGGAGCAACGCCGCGGGAGUGAUGAAGGUCCUCGGAUCGUAAAACGCUGUUAUUAGGGAAGAACAAAUGUGUAAGUAACUAUGCACGUCUUGACGGUACCUAAUCAGAAAGCCACGGCUAACUACGU
This 496-nucleotide ribosomal RNA is filed under the name uncultured bacterium. RNAcentral's name for it is "partial 16S ribosomal RNA". It matches the Rfam family "Bacterial small subunit ribosomal RNA", at positions 28 to 506 of the family's 1533-position model. The record is from RNAcentral.